RNAcentral lists this ribosomal RNA (274 nucleotides) under uncultured bacterium. Its description in RNAcentral is "partial 16S ribosomal RNA". It matches the Rfam family "Bacterial small subunit ribosomal RNA", at positions 523 to 796 of the family's 1533-position model. The record is from RNAcentral.
AUACGGAGGGUGCGAGCGUUAAUCGGAAUUACUGGGCGUAAAGCGUGCGUAGGCGGUUGAUUUAGUCAGAUGUGAAAGCCCCGGGCUCAACCUGGGAACUGCAUUUGAAACUGGUCAACUGGAGUAUGUUAGAGGGGGGUAGAAUUUCUGGUGUAGCGGUGAAAUGCGUAGAUAUCAGAAGGAAUACCGAUGGCGAAGGCAGCCCCCUGGACCAGUACUGACGCUGAGGUACGAAAGCGUGGGGAGCAAACAGAAUUAGAAACCCCGGUAGUCC